GAGUUCAAGAGUACGUGAAACUGCUUAGAGGUUAAGCCCGAUGAACCUGAAUAUCCGUUAUGGAAAAUUCAUCACUAAUACUAUUGUAUUUAUAAUAUUAUAGAAAUGGUGUGCAAUUUUUCCAUAUAAGGNCAUUGUAAUCUGUUAAUGUAAUAAAUAUUUAUUAAAAGAUCUUAUAAAUAAGUUUAUUCAAAUUAGUUAUUUUCGGAUUUCUAACAUAGAAUAAAUGUAUUUGAUUUAAUAAAUCAUUGACAGAUUUAAUUAUAAUAUAGUGCUCAAAUUUUGAAAGAAUUUUACNAUAAUAUGAUAAUUCAAUUUGGUAUAUUUAUUGUAUGCGCUUAUAUGAUUAACAAUGCGAUAGAUUCAGGAUACCUUCGGGACCCGUCUUGAAACACGGACCAAGGAGUCUAACAUAUGUGCAAGUCAUUGGGUAUUUUUAAUAAAACCCAAUGGCAUAAUUAACUUAACUGUUUUUUAAAUGGGAUUAGUUUAUAUUUUAUUAUGAAAUAUUAAUUCAAUCCCGGGGCGUUCUAUACAGUUAUGUAUAAUGAUAUUUAUAUUAUUUAUACCUCUAACU
This 577-nucleotide ribosomal RNA is filed under the name Cheilosia orthotricha. RNAcentral describes it as "eukaryotic LSU rRNA". The record is from RNAcentral. Lineage: Eukaryota; Metazoa; Arthropoda; Insecta; Diptera; Syrphidae.